AUACAGCGAAACUGCGAAUGGCUCAUUAUAUAAGUUAUCUGUUUAUUUGAUAGUGCCUUACUACUUGGAUAACCGUGGUAAUUCUAGAGCUAAUACAUGCUAAAAACCCCGACUUCGGAAGGGGUGUAUUUAUUAGAUACAAAACCAAUGCCCUUCGGGGCUCUUUGGUGAUUCAUGAUAACUAUACGAAUCGCACGGCCUUGCGCCGGCGAUGGUUCAUUCAAAUUUCUUCCCUAUCAACUUUCGAUGUUUGGGUAUUGGCCAAACAUGGUUGCAACGGGUAACGGAGGGUUAGGGCUCGACCCCGGAGAAGGAGCCUGAGAAACGGCUACUACAUCCAAGGAAGGCAGCAGGCGCGCAAAUUACCCAAUCCCGACUCGGGGAGGUAGUGACAAUAAAUACUGAUACAGGACCCUUUCGGGCCUUGUAAUUGGAAUGAGUACAAUUUAAAUCCCUUAACGAGGAACAAUUGGAGGGCAAGUCUGGUGCCAGCAGCCGCGGUAAUUCCAGCUCCAAUAGCGUAUAU
Molecule: ribosomal RNA, 526 nt
Filed under: uncultured eukaryote
Lineage: Eukaryota
Description: SSU rRNA
Rfam family: Eukaryotic small subunit ribosomal RNA
Source: RNAcentral